Molecule: non-coding RNA, 45 nt
Filed under: Schistosoma margrebowiei
Lineage: Eukaryota; Metazoa; Platyhelminthes; Trematoda; Strigeidida; Schistosomatidae
Source: RNAcentral
AUGCAGCUGACGAGUCCAAAAUAGGACGAGACGCGCCUCCUGGAU